GACUGAAUGUAGUGUGAAGCGCUUUGGGGUCCUUAGGGACUAGAAAAGCGCUAUACAAAUGCAGGCCAUUUACCAGUAACCUUUCAGAAAAAAGGGGAUAAAGGUCUAAUUUUUUUCACCAUAUAAUUGAUGAAACUUUCUAUUUUUUUCAGUUGAGCAUCAGGGACAAGGCUGUCUUGCAAUUGUUGAGGUCACUAGUGUGUUCCCCAUUUCUUCCAGGAUCACUCUUCAUUUGUAGGUUUUAGAGGACUCCUACUACUGUGAAGUGGUUUUCAUGGGAAAAAGGCAUUGUAUUCCAAGACAUCUGGGAGAUUGUAGAAAUGAGCAGCAAUGGCCUUCUUUUCCAAGUUCCAAAAAAAUAAGUGAUCUGGAAGCUGUCAGGCUUACUUACAGCAGUAGCACUUUCUGCACCUGCAUAAAGGACACAUUUACUAGCAGUGUUUGUUACUGUAUGUGCUACAGCUGCAGCUUUGAAUUUUUUUUUCUUUUUUUUUCUUUUUUGGAGAGUUAAAAAUUUGGCCAUGGUAUCUUGUUAUGAAAUGUACAAGAGUAAAAGUGUUUUUAGCAUGUGCUUCAAAGCUAAGUUUGACUGGGAAACUCAAAGGUCAAUAACCUGCAUCAACAGAAAUUCACUGCAGCCUGUGUAAUAUUUGAUGAUAAUAUAUUCCAGUGUAUCUUGCAAAUUGUAAUGUCAUGUACAAACUAUUAGAUCCUUAAGAUCAAACCUGUGUCAUUCUAUUGGUCCAUUGCAGUGUAGUAAGUCAUCAAAAGCCCCUAUAUGAAACUAAGAAUAUUACAUGAAAUUGGUUGUUGGCCAAAAAUGGGUAAAUGAUGAAAUUGCAUGAUUUAGCACUGUCAAUAACAAGGAAUUUUAAAAUUUCAUAAUAAUGGGUUUCGGGUGGCCAAAAGUUUCCAUGAUCGAGGCAAGAGGAACAAUGUUCAGUGUAUAUAUUUUUGAUGAAUUUAAGAAGCUGAAAAUUAUUAAAGCUGAAUAAAACUAGACCCUUUCAUUCCAUUGGCAUAAACACAGCAAAAAUGGUCAACAAAAAAAAAAAAGAGAAAGAAGUGGCCACAAAUGGCCAGGAUAGAGACCAGAGGGUUAAUGCGUAAAAUGUA
Astatotilapia calliptera (eastern happy) is the source of this 1116-nucleotide long non-coding RNA. NCBI's taxonomy places the organism in Eukaryota, Metazoa, Chordata, Actinopteri, Cichliformes, Cichlidae. The record is from Ensembl.